This 125-nucleotide small RNA is filed under the name Marmota monax (woodchuck). The record is from RNAcentral. Lineage: Eukaryota; Metazoa; Chordata; Mammalia; Rodentia; Sciuridae.
GCUGGGUACAGUAGUGCAUGCCUGUAAUCCCAGCAGCUUGGGAGGCUGAGACAUGAGGAUCACCAGUUCAAAGCCAGCCUCAGCAAUGGCAAGAUGCUAAGCAACUCAGUGAGACCCUGUCUCUC